Oncorhynchus mykiss (rainbow trout) is the source of this 1062-nucleotide non-coding RNA. NCBI's taxonomy places the organism in Eukaryota, Metazoa, Chordata, Actinopteri, Salmoniformes, Salmonidae. The record is from RefSeq and is a predicted model, not a curated record.
UCUAUUUUAUAUUUCAGAUUCUUCAAAGUAGCCACCCAUUGCCUUGAUGACAGCUUUGCACACUUAAAAUCUUCUCUCACUGAUCGAGACAGGCCAGGGGUGUCAAACUUAUUCCAUGGAGGGCCUUGUGUCUGCUGAAUCUUUUUCUUCUUCUUCAAUUAAGACCUAGACAACCAGAUAGAACGCCAUGAUUGUGAGUUCUGAGGCUGCAUUGGCAACUGCCCUUCCCUGACUGGAGUGGACUUUUAACGGAACACAUGCUAACCACCAACAUACUGUUCCCUCAUUUGGUCACUCAGUUUACCAUAAUACCAGUUAACCUCAUGCAGCCUGAUUACUGUGAUUAAGACUCAACAUACAUGGUAAGACUCUAAGGAUCAAGCAGGGCUUUCUUAAACCAGGAAACUUGAUAAAAAUGUCCUCUUUCUUUGGCUAUCUGCAUAUGGGUACAAUGAUCAUUGAUUGUGAGUUACAAGCAUCAGUAUCACAUGUUGUUUGAGGUCAACUGGUAAUGUGUUUUUCAUUUUCCUCUCUAAGCUGUCUCCUGUCUCCAGAGAUAGACUAAUAUUAUUUUCCUACAAUUAUUUUGUCACAAGAAAAAAAGUGCAAUUUUCUGAGUAUGAACUGUGAAUUAAUUUCAUGUUAAUGAAUUGGCCCCUGGCAAUGUGACUAUUCUCCCUGAAAGGGAGACUGUCUACGGGACAAUUACAUGCUAACUAAUAAAUACUUUUUAAAAUCAGUACUACUGACACACUCAUAAUCUCAGACUCACUAUUAAGACAAUCAAAAAAUGUCCAUAAUGAUGGUACAACUGGGUGCAUGCAAGCAUCUACUGGUAAGAUUGAUAUGGUUUGUGGUUUAGCACAAAGGGCAUAAGUGCUCUUAUACCUGCACCCGAGUGGAAAUGAAGGUUGCUCUAUGCCCACUCAGAAAAUGGAGAAGGCUUGAGGAUGGCAGGGGAUUAGUUUUGUCAGGAAGAAGAAACCCACUGUGCACUUCAAUUCAGUGUCUAUUUCAUGUUGGUUCAGUGUAAUUUCAUUGAAAUGAUGUGGAAACAACAUU